RNAcentral lists this transfer RNA (71 nucleotides) under Marmota marmota marmota (Alpine marmot). It matches the Rfam family "tRNA". From Rfam's summary of the family: Transfer RNA (tRNA) molecules are approximately 80 nucleotides in length. Their secondary structure includes four short double-helical elements and three loops (D, anti-codon, and T loops). Lineage: Eukaryota; Metazoa; Chordata; Mammalia; Rodentia; Sciuridae. RNAcentral also lists the same sequence under 1 other name. The record is from Rfam by way of RNAcentral.
GUGGUUGUGGCUCAGUGGUAGACUGCUUGCCUAGCAGGCAUGAGGACCUGGGUUCAAUCCUCAGCACCACA